Misgurnus anguillicaudatus (oriental weatherfish) is the source of this 3086-nucleotide long non-coding RNA. RefSeq lists it as uncharacterized. Lineage: Eukaryota; Metazoa; Chordata; Actinopteri; Cypriniformes; Cobitidae. The record is from RefSeq and is a predicted model, not a curated record.
ACGUCGUUGCUAGGAUACAGUAACUGAUUACCGCCAUCUGGUAUUCACGUGUUAAUUGGUUUAAAAGUUUACAUAAAUAAAAACGGAGCUUAUAUAGAUAUGUAUUAAUGCUUAUCUAUAAACACAGUAUGUGCAUAUAUGCAGUUAUAUGUUUGUUAAUCGCUUUAUUUAGUUUUUAGACGUCUAGCACCGUCGAAGCACGCGCACAGGAUUGUGGGAUACCAGAAGCAACGCAGGACGCACCAACAGUGUAUUCGCUUUUAAAAACCGCAAAGAUUGGAUUUGGACGAGUUUUGAUGCCAUUGUCUGAUUUGUUGGCUCUUCAUCUCCAGAUGACGGCGCACGCAGGAAUGCCGUCGCUUUUUGGCUGCAUUGAAGAUUCCACAGGUGUGGGAUACAGGUCAUCCUCUUCCUCGGAGCACCGGACGGAGGAAAGAGACGACGAACACUUGCAGUUGUGGGCUCCCGUCCUGUGAGAACCACUUUUGCCUUCUUUUUUGUGCUUGACGCGUCGGUUCUGGAACCAGAUCUUGACCUGCUUCUCGGAGAGGUUGAGGUAAGUCGCGAUUUCUAUGCGCCGAAGUCUUGACAGGUACAUGUUGGACGUGAACUCCCUCUCCAACUCAAGGAGUUGCGUACUGGUGAAUGCUGUGCGCAUGCGCUUGCUGCUAUGAAGUUGGUUGCUGUUAUUAUCUGUUGAAGAGAAAUAUAAGUUUUAGCUAUAUAUAUAUAUGGAUGAUGGGUUGCAUCAUGCGUUUAAUGAUUUUAAACGUAUAUCAUUGCAAGACGCUGGACUCACCUAUGGAUAUGCAGUGGAACUGUCGCGGAUCUGGCACUGGAUACGUGGCUUGGUAUAACCCCGAGCCGCUGUUCAGAUUUACACCGCCAGAAGUGGAGUGCUGCCUGGAUAGCGCGGAGUGACAAUACUGUGCGCCGAAGGAGGGAAAAGAUGCCUUGAUGAGCGGCAGCGCUGGAGGCGACGGGUGCAGGUGAGACGCGGUGACGCACAGCGGGCAAAAACACAACAGACCCGCCUUGCGAGAGUGACAGGAGCCGCCGGAGAGGCCGUGGAGUGGAUGCGACGGAUGGACGGCGUAUGGAAAUAACGGAGGACUGUUCUCUCUUCCUUUCUCACCAUUCUCCCUCAAAAUCAAGGAAUCCACUAGGAAAGAUCUUGGCAUGUUUACAGCACUGCGUUUCUUCACUCAAAAGGUCUGAGAGCUCGAAAAAGUUUCUAUUGGUCAGUCGUGUUCCGUAGCCAAGGCUGGACGGCAGAAUGAUGCUGAGGAGAAAACGUUCCUGCUUAAAUAGUUGGAGAGACAGUUUGUCCAUGUGACGGUUACGCUACUAGCGGCUGAGAGCCCUCAAUAGGGUUUUGUGCCUUUUCUCUUGGCAUUCACUCUGCACGCUUCCCUAUUAUUUCACUUGUUAACUAAAUGAACUGCACAAUGUAGUCUAUUCUUGUCAGCCCCACCCACACUGCAAGAGGCGGUACUGCCCCUUCUCCCUUUUAAAAUUUACCCUCCUUUUAUACUAUUACUCUUUAGUGUCGUUUUAAACUUUAUUUUCUUUCUCACUCGCUCGCAUGGAGACUAUUGCUCUUUUAAUUAUUUCAUUCAGAUAGGCUCGUCGUUUGUUCCCCGGGUGCGUAUUUACGCAGACAUAGAGACUUAUUAGACAUUCGGUGCAUAUGACUGAUGUCACAGGGCUCAGUCCACCUGCAGCUCUGCCCAUUAUUAACUAUCAUAACAAUUAUAGACCAUACUGAGAAAGCGUCCCACGAGAAUUGGGAAUGCGUUAUUUGAUUGGUUUUAGCCUAAUCGAAUGUUUGACAACUGCACAUGAAGGGGUUUCUUUAUUGACAUCACUCUUCACAAACCAAAACUUUAACGUUUAAGUGUUUUGCUAUUUGAAUUUAAAUGUUUUAACUUUGUAACUCAAUUUAUAGAGCAUGGCGUCAGCAACGCGAAGGUUGUGGAUUUGAUUCCCACGGAACGCGCGUGCUAAUUUGAAACAAAAUUAUCCGAGCAUUUUAGAUCUGUUUACAAUACGAUAUUUCAAGAUCUUAGUUCUGUGCACCCGUAUCUAUUUAGAGGGCAAACGUGUCAUUUCUAGUCUAUGGAAAAAAAGACGCGUCACCAUCUCAAAGCGAUGAGGUUAGAAAACAGUGAUUAAUUCCUGCGCGCGGGCCCCCGUCGAGUCCGGGAAGGAAUAUAUAAAAAUAACCAGGUUUUCACUCUCCCAGCCCUUAUUGAAUGUCAUUGUGGAGAGUUUUCAAUGCGAGAGAGAAAGGGUCGAAUUAAAGUGUGUGACAGCGGCGGACAAAGUGGCACAAAGCCGACUCUGUCACUGAGGUCCCGAAUGCGCGCGAGUGAAAGCCCCUGCCCGCCGCGCCCUGAUUGAAUUAAGUAAUAGGAAAAACAUUUUCUUUCACUUCAGCUUUGCUAAACAAGAUGUUCAAAGGGAAAGAGACUACUAAUGUGUGAGUAAACAGCGAAAUGUGGGUUUAAUGUUCUGUUUUCAGUGCGUUUUUAUUACUUAACAAAACAUAUAUUGCAUUAAUAACCAAAACAAAUAUUACUUAAAUUGCAAUAAACUAUUUUCUUGAACGACACUGUUAUCUAAUAAUAACUAGGCUAUAUGAGCAAAGAAAUAUUUGUCACAUCAGAUUUAAAACUUUUUUUGUCAAAAGAACUGAUUCCUCGACUCAGACUGGUUUUUCCCAAGGUGUUGUAAACCUAUUUAUGUCACCGAAUCAUAUGAAGCUCAUUGCCACUGUCGCCUUAAAUGCUUUCUUAAUUGCUGUUUAAAGACAUUUAAUAUCCAAUAGUUAUAUCAGUUUGACUAGACACUGUCGAAUUAAGUAAAACAAUGCUUCGAGCUGCUGAAACGGACACAUUUUGAAACAUCGACACUGUUACUGAAUUUAAUCAACAUUUAAAUUAAUUUUUGAAAAGUUGUGACCAUUGAGUGCGUAAAGUAUCCAGCAUUUAAACGACCUAUUUAUAUACAAUACAUGGCAAGUUCAGUAACUUUACUGUAAAACAAAAAUCUGUUUAUAUAAAUAAAGGUGACUUGACGACUUU